Molecule: ribosomal RNA, 223 nt
Filed under: uncultured Bolidomonas
Lineage: Eukaryota; Bolidophyceae
Description: partial Eukaryotic large subunit ribosomal RNA
Rfam family: Eukaryotic large subunit ribosomal RNA
Source: RNAcentral
GUGAACAGCAAUUGGACAUGGGUGAGUCGAUCCUAAGAGAUAGGUUAGUACCGUUCGGAGGAGGGUGGUUUUCGGAUCGCCCCGCCUGUCGAAAGGGAAUCGGGUUAAUAUUCCCGAACCAGGACGUGGAUACCGAGUGGCGACACAAGCGAAGCCGGGGACGGCGGCGCGGGCUCCGACAAGAGUUUUCUUUUCUUGUUAACAGUGUGGGCGGCCCCUGGAA